RNAcentral lists this ribosomal RNA (1386 nucleotides) under Australicapitona hopei. Its description in RNAcentral is "16S ribosomal RNA". The stretch from base 898 to 1258 matches the Rfam family "Bacterial large subunit ribosomal RNA", at positions 2075 to 2645 of the family's 2925-position model. Lineage: Eukaryota; Metazoa; Arthropoda; Insecta; Coleoptera; Carabidae. The record is from RNAcentral.
CAAAUCAAUAUAGUUUGACAAUUAUAAAUUUACUAUAUUUAAUUGGUUAAUUAAAUUUUAAUAGAAAUAACUUUAUGUAUAAAAUUUUAGUAUUGUGUUAAGAAAAGAUGGUUUUAGUGAUAGUUUAUUAGUAUUGUAAAAGAAUAUUGAAAUAUUUAAUAUUUAUUUAAAAGUAAAAUUGAUUUUUUGUACCUUGUGUAUCAGGGUGUAUUAAUUAAAGGUUUAUGAUAAUUAAUUUUCUCGAAUUUAAGAGAGCUAAAAUUUUAUGAUUGUUAUUGUUUCAUCAAUAUAAUUAAUAGAUUUUUGGCAAUGAAAAGUUAUUCGUUCUUAAAUAUAUCUAGUUCGUUUGGAAAUGAAUUUAAUUCAGAAGUUAUUGAUUUAGUGUUUUAUUUAUUUAGAGCGUUGGAUUUUAACUUUAAUAUUAUAGGGGAUAAGCUCUAUAUUAAAUUUUUAAAAAUUUAUUUUGUUAUUCAAGAUUUGUAGGUUUAGAAAUAGCCAUCAAUUUAGUUUGUUAUAAUUAAUUUGUUUAGGAUUUUGAUUUUAUAUAAUUUUAAGUUGAUUUACAGGCGUUAAUUUAUUAAUAAAGGAUAAGUUGUGAUAAUGAUGCAAUUAGUAUAUUUUAUGUGAUAGUAGAGUUUACAAGACAAUUUAAGUAGAGGAAUUCGGCAAAUUUUUUACUCGCCUGUUUAACAAAAACAUGUCCUUUAGGUGUAUAAUUUAAGGUCUAACCUGCCCGAUGAUUGAAUUGAAUGGCCGCAGUAUUUUGACUGUGCAAAGGUAGCGUAAUCAUUAGUUUUUUAAUUGAAAGCUUGUAUGAAUGGUUGGACGAGGUAAAUACUGUCUUUACUUGAUUUAUAUUAGAAUUUAACUUUUGAGUCAAAAGGCUCAAAUUUAAUUAAUAGACGAGAAGACCCUAUAGAUCUUUAUUCAUUAAUUUUUAAAUUAGGUUUGGAUUUAUUAUUAAUUUAAUUUUUUGUGUAUUUUGUUGGGGUAAUAUAAAGAUUAGAUAAAUUCUUUGAAUUUUAAAACAAUGAUGAUUGAUUUAGUGAUCCAUUAAUAUUGAUUAUAAGAUUAAGUUACCUUAGGGAUAACAGCGUAAUUUUUUUUAAGAGUUCAUAUCGAUAAAAAAGUUUGCGACCUCGAUGUUGGAUUAAAAAUUGUUUCGGGUGCAGAAGUUCGAAAGUUUGGUCUGUUCGACCAUUAAAUUUUUACAUGAUCUGAGUUCAGACCGGCGUGAGCCAGGUCGGUUUCUAUCUUUAGUAAAAUAAAAUAUUUUAGUACGAGAGGACCAAGUAUUUGAUAUAUAAAUAUCUAAGUUUUGAAUAUUAUUAUUACUUUGGCAGAAUAGUGCAAUGAAUUUAGAAUUCAUGAAUGUGAUUUUUUCAC